AGUUGCUGUUCUUGGUCAUGGAUGAUUUUGUUCGCAACAAAUUAACUGAGUGGAAUCUCAGCGACUGGAUAGAAACAUUCAAAGAUCAAUGCAUUGACAAGGAAAGUCUUUACUGUCUGGGUGAUCAAGAAAUUGCUGAAUUGAUCCCAACAGUGGGACCAAGGUCAAAAUUCAAGAAGAGACUCAAGUUGUUAAAGG
This is a long non-coding RNA of Cottoperca gobio, 198 nucleotides long. RefSeq lists it as uncharacterized. Lineage: Eukaryota; Metazoa; Chordata; Actinopteri; Perciformes; Bovichtidae. The transcript has 2 exons. The record is from RefSeq and is a predicted model, not a curated record.